AGUGAACGCUGGCGGCAGGCCUAACACAUGCAAGUCGAACGGCAGCACAGUAAGAGCUUGCUCUUACGGGUGGCGAGUCGCGGACGGGUGACGUAUACAUCGGAACCUACUUUUUCAUGGGGGAUAACGAAGGGAAACUUACGCUAAUACCGCAUACGAUCUACGGGUGAAAGCAGGGGAUCUUCGGACCUUGCGCGAUUGAAUGAGCCGAUGUCGGAUUAGCUAGUUGGCGGGGUAAAGGCCCACCAAGGCGACGAUCCGUAGCUGGUCUGAGAGGAUGAUCAGCCACACUGGAACUGAGACACGGUCCAGACUCCUACGGGAGGCAGCAGUGGGGAAUAUUGGACAGUGGGCGCAAGCCUGAUCCAGCCAUACCGCGUGGGUGAAGAAGGCCUUCGGGUUGUAAAGCCCUUUUGUUGGGAAAGAAAAGCAGCAGGUUAAUACGCCGCUGUUCUGACGGUACCCGAAGAAUAAGCACCGGCUAACUUCGUG
This 492-nucleotide ribosomal RNA is filed under the name uncultured bacterium. RNAcentral's name for it is "partial 16S ribosomal RNA". It matches the Rfam family "Bacterial small subunit ribosomal RNA", at positions 29 to 507 of the family's 1533-position model. The record is from RNAcentral.